GCAUCGGUGGUUCAGUGGUAGAAUGCGUUGCCUUCCAAGCAGUUGAUCCGGGUUCGAUUCCCGGCCGAGUGCA
Non-coding RNA from Drosophila busckii, 73 nucleotides. NCBI's taxonomy places the organism in Eukaryota, Metazoa, Arthropoda, Insecta, Diptera, Drosophilidae. The record is from the annotation of a RefSeq genome assembly.